AGAUGGCCGAACCAGAGAGUGAGCAUGCGAGAGAAGGCUUUGCCGAGAGCUGAUCGUGAGAGAGCUUGAGAGCGAGAUCGAGAGACGGCCGAGUUCGGCCAUUGAAGAAGCAGCUUCGGGCUGCUGUUGAAAUGGCUAAGGCAAAGGCAGCCAUGGAAGCAGCCAAUGAAGAAGCUCGGUAGCAGCGAAGCGGCCGAAUGCUGGUGGCGGAGCAGCUGCGGUGGAAGCCGACCGGCAGUGGAGCACGCAGAGGCGGCGUCGGCUUGAGGCGAUGACGGCCGGAGGUGCGGCUCUGGCUGGUUGUCGCGGCCAUGGCCCCCGCGAGGGGAGGUCGGGCAGCAACGCCGCUGCUAUGCGCAGUGUGGCCGGAGACAGGCGCGGCGGUAGGCGGUAGAUGGAGGUGAGCAUCGACGGCGGCUGGGGGCCAGCGGCGGUGGCCGGGUGCUGGAGCCGCAGGCGCUGUGCGCGCCAAGGAAGAAGAUGAACAGUGCCGCGGGAGGUGAAGAAGAAAGAAGGAAAAGAGAAAAAGAAAAAGAAAAAUGGAAAAGAAAAGAAAAAUAAAAGAAAAGAAAUAAAAAGAAAAUAUGGAAAAUGGGAAAAAUAGCUGAAAAAUCCAGAAAAAUUGGGGAAAAGUUCUGGAAAUUAAAUUGGGAUUUGUGGAGCGUGUUGGAAGCUCAGAAAUGAGAUUUUGGGCGCAAAUGGCAGCUCGGGAGGCAAUGCCAAUGUGGAUGAUUAAUCGAUUUUCUCUUCCAAAUUAACUGAGGGUCAACCAAGGAGGCGAUGAUCCUAGAAGAGCUCGGAGUUCGGGCUAGAGUUCGUGCCGAGGCAGAGUUGAAGCUUCGAGCCAGAUGAUGCAAGUCCAGAUGCAAGCAGGGAUGGCGCCGGGAGGCCGUUGUGGCAACUAGCUGAGUUGCCCGAGUUAUGUAUUUUUAAUAUUGCUUGUAUGUAACCAGGGGGCGUGGUGUGUGUAUACCCUUGUGAGUAAAUGUCUGUGUUAUUGAGCUUAAAUGUAUUUAAUUGUGUAAUCAUCAUAGUGUGAUAGAUGAUUGUGAGAUUGCUGGUUGAAUAUGGCAUAGUCGGUAAAGCCAAGAUUCGGACCGAGUCAAGAUUAGCAAGGUAUGUUCUCAUAAAUCCCCAAUACUCAGCGAAGUGUUUGUAUGCUAGCCUUGUGCCUAGGUCACCUCUGGCUUGCUAUGGGGUGAGCUGAAGAGAGGUGAAGCUCACUCGGGUUUCGGGUCUUGGUCCGCUGGAUUUUUUCUUAUUUGAGUUGGGACCAAUUCCUGAGUAGAGCGAAGGGAAGGACGAAGCCUAGUUCCCACCUAGGGCGUUUCCUGUUGAAACAUAGUCCAACCCUUCAGUUGUGAUUGUCGGGUGAGUAAUCCGGUCGAUUAUUUACCGGUGGCGCCUGUAAGUGGGGGCGGGGCGUUACAGUGGGCCUUGACAACAUUGAUUAUUAUGCUCCCACCAAAUAAAAUAAACCUUUGCCUACAAAACAAGCUGAUUUGCCGCCUGCCAAAGAUCUUUACCAUGCCAAGGCUAUCCAAAUUUCUUAAAAUGACGAAAAAAAAGAUAACACUUGACGAGAAUACAAACAGUCAAAGAAUAAAUGACUAUGAUGCUCUGCAGCCUCUAUACAAAGAUAACAUCUAUUUAGGAAAGGAAAAAAAGGUUAAGACAGUCAAGAGUAGUGAGUUGCUCUUGAAUCGCCAACCAACGGAUAAAUGCAUAAGCAAGAAUCCUAGAACUAUGUCAAACCAAAUGAUGCGAACAUGAGGACGUUGCACAGAUAAACACUAAUAGGCAUAACGAACAGUAAAAAUCCCAUCAGAAGCCAACAGCCAACUUAACUCAUCACGAUGCCCAACCCUAGGAGAACUAGGCAUAUGUUCUUAAAUAAGACCCAAAGAUGGUGAUGAAGUUAUAUCAGGCCAACUCCAAGAACCAUCCACAAUGAUAUUUGAAACAUGAGACGAAAUUGAAAUACCCAACUGCCAAGGCAAUUGGUGAGAAAAUCAAUCAACUAUCACCCUUAAAAGAUACCAUUGAUCAUGCCACAAAAAGUUGUUAGACCAUCACCAAUUUACCAGCCAAAAAUGAAACACAUACCACACCACAAAUCAAGAAUAACUUUCUCCAGUAUUGAGGACAUUGUUUUAACAUAGCCUUUGGGGGACGCCUUCAGAAAGGUAGCUCCCCCAAAGGUGGUACAACUUCUUGGGAGGAUUUCCACCCAGAAGAAUCUUCAGGGCACCCUAAAGACCUAGCUGAGGACCUUUCGAGGACUCGCUUCCUCGAAGGCUUAGCCUGCACUCUCCAAUAACCUUUUGGAAGGGUCAACUCUCGGAGGCCUUCUCCUAUAGCCUAACCAAGGUUGUUCCUCAAUAACUUGGCAUACCUCUUUUCGACCCUUCUUUCUCCAAAGACUAGUCUUCGAAAGGGUCUCUUCUAGCCUUUCGAUCCUACCCCAAGACACCCUGAAGGCCCGUGCACCCUUACCCAAAGCGUCCUAUCAUGUGUCUCCGUGCAUGUGUGCCACGUGUCCUAGCGUGCCAUGCAUCCCAGUUAUCUAACGGGUAUAAAUACCCCUAGGUCCCACACCUUUGGAACUUAUAUUCAAAUCCUAAAGCCUUAGCCAAAACUCUUACACGCCUACAUAACACCUCUUUUGAAGACCUCAUUCGCACAUCAUAUUACAUCCGCAUCAUCCUUUCGGCAUAAUGGCAGCACCUAACUUAGGCAUUGAAGGCCUUACAUGGGAGAUAUCCUCAUUUACCUUCUUAUUGUCUCAUGCCUUGUAGAUUCGAAGGCCCAUCAUCUCUCCCAGACACCAGAGACUCUUCUGAAAUGAUUUCUAGAGCUACCUAGAAUCUUCUCCAAGAGACCCACACAACUAUCCCGAAGCCUUUUGGGUCUACCAUCCCCUGAAAACAUUUCAAGUCUUUUCAGCUCCAAAUACCCUUCAGGUGGCCUUUCCUCAGGUGAUCUCCUCAAGGUGACUUCUUGGGGUAUUCCUCCUACUCUCCUAGAUAGUAGAUCAAGCCUUGUCUUGUGCAUUUUCUCGCUUUGUUGGGUGGUAGAUCGAGCCAUCCCAUUAGUCGCUAUCAACUCUUUGGAUAAAAUGCGAGAUAAAGGGCUUGAAUGAUUUUCCAUUUUAAAAGAGAUUUAGCUAUAAAAGAAUUUAAAGUUUGUCAAUUUGAUUAUCUUGAAAAAUCCAUUUAAUUCCAGUCUUGAAUUAAAGGUACCUCUCACUAAUUUUUUCGAACCCACACUUUGUAAGGUGGUAAACAUGAAUCCCGUUAGAAGAUUCGUAGUGGGUGAUCAAACACAUUCAAUGUGGAGCUCAACCUUAGGCCCCUAUUCCACCUAAUUCCCAACACUUUGGUGGUUUCUAGGACGGUGACACGGUUAGAUUCCACCCACCGCCCCAACCAGCAGUCCACUUGCAAUGUCUACAAUCUCAACACUUUGGUGGUAUGUUGGCCAUAUCCGUGUGGGGUAACUGACAACAUCCAAUGCUUAAUAUGAAAAUUAAUCAACUCUCAAGAAAUGUACCCUCUUAUCUUUGGUAGCCAGGGAACACUCAAUCAAGCAAAGAUAUCCUAUGGUAGUGGAGGGUCACGAUGAAUUCAAUUCACUAUUUACAUCUAAUAUUAUUUGUACAAUUGGGAGGAGUUUUCGAUUUUUAAUUUAAGAUCUCACUUUGCAUACGUAUUAAGUUUUAUUCAAUGUAUCCAAUACAUAAUAAAACAAAAUGCAUACAUGCAUUACUGGAUGAUCAUGGGCUUUUAAGCACUUAAUUAAACCUGAGCCUCAAUAUUUAAUUAAAGAGGCUUCCAAGAGACAUUCAACCAUAAAUUUUACUGCUGCCAACAAAUGAGGUUGACUUGCUCCCUCGAGCCAUCAUCCAUUGAUAUCUCAGUGUCUUCAUCAACAUUA
Molecule: long non-coding RNA, 3936 nt
Organism: Diospyros lotus (date-plum)
Lineage: Eukaryota; Viridiplantae; Streptophyta; Magnoliopsida; Ericales; Ebenaceae
Exons: 3
Source: RefSeq, a predicted model, not a curated record